AGAAAGGCCAAGAAAAAGAAGGUGGGCCUAGGCCCCUGCUGUUGUGAGGAAACAGGAGGGCAAAAAGGUGGUAAAUCUCCUGUUUGAGAAAAGGCCCAAUAAUUUGGGUACUGGACAGGACAUCUAGCCCAAAAGGGAGCUCAUCCACCUUGUCAAACGGCCCUGCUACAUCCAGCUGCCACAGCAAAAGCCUGUCUCCUAUAAGCAGUUGAAAGUGCUUCACAAAAUUAACCAGUCCACACAGGCGUUGGACCACCAAACAGCUACUUAUCUGCUUAAGCUUGCCCACAAGUACAGACAAGAGGCAAAGCAAGGGAAGCAGCACAUACUGUUGGAUCCAGGUAGAGAAGAAAGCUGCCAGCAAUGGGGAUGUCUCCACUAAGAGACGUCCAGUCCUUCCAGCAGGUGUUAACACUGUCACUUCCUUGGUGAAGAACAAGAAGGCUCAGCUGGUGGUUACUGUACAUAACAUGGAUCUCAUAGAACUGGUUAUGUUUCUGCCUGCUAUGUGAUGUUAGGUGGAGAUUUCUUACUGGAUUAUCAAGGAGAAGGCCAGAUGGGGACAACUAAUCCAGAGGAAGACUUACACCACCACUGCCUUCACACCGGUUAACUCGGAAGACAUAAGGAGCUCUGGCUAAGCUGGUGGGCACAAUGGCAGAUAUAAUGAGAUCUGCCAUCUCUAGAGAGGCAAGUUCUGGACCUAAAAUCUGUGACUCAAAUUGCCAAUCUGGAAAAGGCAAAGUCUAAAAUAACUUGCCACUAAAG
Molecule: long non-coding RNA, 768 nt
Filed under: Homo sapiens (human)
Lineage: Eukaryota; Metazoa; Chordata; Mammalia; Primates; Hominidae
Description: non-protein coding lnc-OCRL-2:1
Source: RNAcentral